Salmo salar (Atlantic salmon) is the source of this 54-nucleotide non-coding RNA. Lineage: Eukaryota; Metazoa; Chordata; Actinopteri; Salmoniformes; Salmonidae. The record is from Rfam.
AAUGCACCAAUUUGUAAGGCGCUCUGGAUAAGAGCGUCUGCAAAAUGACGUAAA